GACGAACGCUGGCGGCGUGCCUAAUACAUGCAAGUAGAACGCUGAAGGAGGAGCUUGCUUCUCUGGAUGAGUUGCGAACGGGUGAGUAACGCGUAGGUAACCUGCCUGGUAGCGGGGGAUAACUAUUGGAAACGAUAGCUAAUACCGCAUAAUAGUAGAUGUUGCAUGACAUUUACUUAAAAGGUGCAAUUGCAUCACUACCAGAUGGACCUGCGUUGUAUUAGCUAGUUGGUGGGGUAACGGCUCACCAAGGCGACGAUACAUAGCCGACCGGAGAGGGUGAUCGGCCACACUGGGACUGAGACACGGCCCAGACUCCUACGGGAGGCAGCAGUAGGGAAUCUUCGGCAAUGGACGAAAGUCUGACCGAGCAACGCCGCGUGAGUGAAGAAGGUUUUCGGAUCGUAAAGCUCUGUUGUAAGAGAAGAACGAGUGUGAGAGUGGAAAGUUCACACUGUGACGGUAUCUUACCAGAAAGGGACGGCUAACUACGUG
Molecule: ribosomal RNA, 495 nt
Filed under: uncultured bacterium
Lineage: Bacteria
Description: partial 16S ribosomal RNA
Rfam family: Bacterial small subunit ribosomal RNA
Source: RNAcentral